UAGGGAAUCUUCGGCAAUGGACGAAAGUCUGACCGAGCAACGCCGCGUGAGUGAAGAAGGUUUUCGGAUCGUAAAACUCUGUUGUUAGAGAAGAACAAGGACGUUAGUAACUGAACGUCCCCUGACGGUAUCUAACCAGAAAGCCACGGCUAACUACGUGCCAGCAGCCGCGGUAAUACGUAGGUGGCAAGCGUUGUCCGGAUUUAUUGGGCGUAAAGCGAGCGCAGGCGGUUUCUUAAGUCUGAUGUGAAAGCCCCCGGCUCAACCGGGGAGGGUCAUUGGCAACUGGGAGACUUGAGUGCAGAAGAGGAGAGUGGAAUUCCAUGUGUAGCGGUGAAAUGCGUAGAUAUAUGGAGGAACACCAGUGGCGCAGGCGGCUCUCUGGUCUGUAACUGACGCUGAGGCUCGAAAGCGUGGGGAGCAAACAGG
Molecule: ribosomal RNA, 429 nt
Filed under: Chloroflexota bacterium
Lineage: Bacteria; Bacillati; Chloroflexota
Description: Chloroflexi bacterium partial 16S ribosomal RNA
Rfam family: Bacterial small subunit ribosomal RNA
Source: RNAcentral